This 406-nucleotide ribosomal RNA is filed under the name uncultured bacterium. RNAcentral's name for it is "partial 16S ribosomal RNA". It matches the Rfam family "Bacterial small subunit ribosomal RNA", at positions 28 to 526 of the family's 1533-position model. The record is from RNAcentral.
GACGAACGCUGGCGGCGCGCUUAACACAUGCAAGUCGAGCGAAGCGGCGGACGGGUGAGUAACACGUGAGUAACCUGCCUUAGACAUUGGGAUAGCCUCGGGAAACCGGGAUUAAUACCAAAGUCUAAGAUGGGCUCGCGGCCUAUCAGCGGGGUGGUGGGGUGAUGGCCUACCAAGGCGGUGACGGGUAGCCGGCCUGAGAGGGGGACCGGGCACAUUGGGACUGGGAUACGGCCCAGACUGCUGUGGGAGGCAGCAGUGGGGGAUAUUGCACAAUGGGCGAAAGCCUGAUGCAGCGACGCCGCGUGGGGGAUGAAGGCUUUCGGGUUGUAAACCUCUUUCGCUAUCGAACGGGUAGGUGGAGAAGAAGCGCCGGCUAACUACGUGCCAGCAGCCGCGGUAAUAC